RNAcentral lists this long non-coding RNA (7023 nucleotides) under Sarcophilus harrisii (Tasmanian devil). RNAcentral describes it as "lncRNA (ENSSHAG00000021670.1)". The record is from RNAcentral. Lineage: Eukaryota; Metazoa; Chordata; Mammalia; Dasyuromorphia; Dasyuridae.
AAACGGAACUGGGAGCGCUUCGGUGACUUGCUCGGGAGCACCCAGCGGCGCGUAGCUGCCCGAGACACGGCUCCAACUCGGAUGUUCUUGAUCCCAAGUCCAGCGCUGGGGGUUUAAAGGAAGGCUAUGGGCUGCCUGAGAGGAAAGACACCAGGAUAAUAGUGGCACCCACUUGGGAUGCGGCGGUGUCCGUAGAAGCCCUGAGUGCACGUGGUGGCCGCACAUCCCUUCCCCCCCCCCCCCCCCCGCGCGCUCCGAGGGGCUCCCCCCAGGCCUUGCCCCCAGCUCCGAUGCUACUUCCAGCGCUUUACUACGGAUUGGGGAAGGUCGGGGCUUGCGGCCUGUGAAGGCCCCGGCCCCCCCGCCCCCGGCUGCAUUUGGAUCCCGUAGCCCCGCCCAGAGCUCCGGGGGUGUGGGGACGGGCUGGGGCGAGCUCCCGGGCCAGUUCGGGGAGUCUACAACUAUCCCGGGCCUGGGCGCUGUCCAGAGGAGUCGGGUCUCCGGAAGGGAAUCACGGCCUUCGUAGGGACCGCAGUAACUCCUGUGGCAACAGAGCGGGACUAUCCCUCCCCUAGGCUGGAGACUCUUGCCCGUGGCUACCAUUUCCUGCCCCAGCUCAACAUCACCUUCACAUUCCCCUUCACUUUCAACCAUGAGGUCCUUUUUAGUCAUGUUCCUCGUAGCCAUCAUCAUCAUGACCAAGCAAUUUGCCCAAGCCCUGAAUUGCCAUGUUUGUACAGCUAAUGAAAAUGACUGUUCGAACCCAAUGCAGUGUCCUGGACUAGCCAUCUACUGCAAGACCAUUCGGGCCUCUUCUCCAGCUCUGGUCUACAAAUCCUGUGCGGCCAUCUGCACCAAGGAUAGCAUGGAGGAAAUUCAAAUAAAACAAAAUGCCAAGGUGUCCUGCUGCCAGUCAGACCUGUGUAAUGGGGCUGCUUCCUGGAACCCGGGAUCCUCAAGCCUCAUCCUCACGGGGCUUCUCAGCAUCUUCUGGGGCCUGUUUGCUCUUGGUCUCUGAGCUAUAGCCAGCAGACCCACAGGUGGAUAAAUUAACUUCCUUUCCCUCCUUUGCAUUGAUAGCUCAGCCUGGCUCCCAGGUGAGAGAGGGAGACUAUGCUCCUGUCCUUCCUUUGUCACUAGGUCCCACUCAGAGCACUGGGCUGUUUCCAGCCCUCCAUCACCUACCAUCCCCCACUGCUAUGUCUCUGUUUGGCUUUCAUAUCAGUAGAAUAGCCCUGGCCAUUUUCCAGAAGGUCGAAAAUGAUUCUUAUGACACAAUUUUGAUUUGGAAGGAAAUCACAAAAUCCCAGAUUUAAAAGGGACUCUAGAGAGCAUCCCAUGCAACCUUCAUUUGAGCAGCAAUCCCCUCUGUUAUAUCCCUGACAGGCUCUCAUUCAGCGUUGACUUGAAGAAUGCCGGUUGUGGGAAACUCCCUAUCUGUUGGGGCACCCCGUUCUACUUCUGGACAGUUUUAAUUGGCAGGAAGCAUUUCCUUAUAUCCAGUCCAAAUCUUCCUCUCUGCAAUUUUUAGACCUGGUUCCUAAUUUUGCUUGCUAGGACCAAGCAGACCAAGUCGAAUCUGUCACAUAUCUGAAGACAGCUAUAGUUUCCGUUCUCUUUUGCAAGUUAACGCUCCUAUCCCUCCAACCCCAGUCCUUGCAUGGCAGGAGACCUCACAGAUCAUUCUAUUUUAGCCUCGCCUCAUUUUACAGAGGAGGACACUGAGCUUUAAAGAAAAAUCCUUGCUUGUCUAACAUAGGUAGGAAAUGACAAAGGUGAGACUUGAACUCAAGAUUUUUGACUUCAGAUCUAGUUUUGUUUAUUCUCUUUGCUGUGGAAGAAAUACCAGUCUCUGGUCCCCUUCCAGGACACUCCUCAAAUUUCCAGUUAAUUUAAGGUUUGAGGAAUAGGUUAAAGAAGGCUAGAAGUGGAAGGAGAAGAAAAAUCUCUUGAAUCCCUCUUGUUCGUUGUGGAGUUCAGGGGAGUGACAACACAGAAUCCCAACAGCUGCUCCUGGGCUGGCUCUCUCCCCAAAGUCUCAAAUGUUUAUUGGUCUGUCAGAUGUCACCCCAGGCUCUUUCUACAAAAGGGAAGGCAUGGGGAAAGCAGCCAGGCUAAUGUUGACCUCUGGAGGGAAGGGAAGGGAACAGAUCAUAUUGGGGCUUUUUUUAGCUGCCUGACUCAGCCCUGGGAUGAGAAACCAAGGCCCUUGUCCCCAGGGCAUCUCUCCCACUCCCCCCUCCUAGGUGAGAAGGCAAACAUGACUACGCCAGUAACCUCUCCUAACAGAAGUAGGAGAGGCUGAAGUUAUAGGAACAGGAGGCCCGCUAAAACAGCCCAGUGACACUCCAGGCUCAACUAACAACCUCUGGCUACAGAUAUGAGGCUCCGUGGGAUUAGCUACCCCUCAUGGAGAAGUAGAAAGCACGUUUGGUGGUCCAUCCUCUGGAGUCAAAGAGCCCCUCAUUUUUUUACAGCUGAGAAAACUUCCCAAAAAGAAGGGGAAAGGCAUGCUAAUUAGUAAAUAUAAUAAACUAAAUAGUAAAUAAUAUAUAGCAGAGCAUGGACCAGAACGUAAGUGAAACAAUGCAUAGAGUGCUAAGUCUGAAGUCAGAAACACCUGAGUUUGAUUCCUGCCUUGGUUACUAAUUCUAUGAAUCUGGACAAGUCAUUUCAACUCUGUUUGCCUCAGUUUUUUCAUCUGUAAAAUGGGGAUAAUAAUGGCACUUACCUUCCAGGGUUUGGUGAGGAUUAAAUGACACUAUAUUGAUAAAGUAUCUAACAGUGCUUAAUAUAUGGUAGGCACUAUAUAAAUGCUUGUUUCUUUCCUUCUGAUCCCACCCCCCCAAAUCAAGAUUCUCUGCAUUUUGCCUUUUAUUCCUAGAAAGGAACUUGGUGGUCAUGUAUAAGGCUGCCCUCGAUAUACACAUACAUACAUACAUCAUCAUCAUUAUCAUUGUCUAUUGAGGUCAAUAAUAUAUCCCCCAGAGGUUUGGCUGAGAUGAAUUAUUGACGGGAUAAAAUAUAAACUCCCAAUAUCAUUCAAGGUUCACUCACCAGCUGGUUCCCAUCUACCUGCCAGAUCUUAUUUUAUUGUCCUUCCCUUGCUCUAUGUUCUAGAGAAACUGGACAACCCUUCACCUCUUGUUCUUUGUCUGACAAUCCCCAUCUCUGUGUAUUUUUGUCCAUACCAUCUUCCCCAUCUCCAUCUAUUGAAGACCUUUUUCUUUCACCCUUUAUAGUCCAAUUCAGAUGCCACCUUUUUCCUUGAACCUCCCUCCCUAAUCUUUUCCCUAAGUCACAUGUUGUCCCUCAGAGUCCUAUUUCUUUCCCUCUCUCUGCUCUCUAGAGCCUGAAUUGUCACCCAAAUGGAAGAGAAUGGCAGGCCAUCCCCAGUAAUCUCUCAAAGGUAGAAAUCUAUUCAUCCAGUUAAGGGAGGAAGGAAGGAGGAAGGUCUGCAGGUAAAAUCUCAGCCUUUCUCCCAGACUUUUAUCUGGUCCAUCACUGUACCAAACUGAAGCUUAGACAGACUUUGUAGAUACAAACAAAACAAAAUUAAAGCUAGAUAAAUUAGAAAGAUUUUGUAUUUGGAUAAAUUCAGAGUUAUAUAUGUAUGGGAGACUUCACAGGGACUUUCAAACCAAAUUUGAAGCCUCCUCUCAUUAAGUUCUUAUUUCUUCAGUUAUUCCUGGGAACUCGUCAAACCUUUUUUGUGCAUCUUCUUAUAGACCUACCUUGAAUUAUUGAUGUAAGGUAUGUGAAUACAUCCUGAGUGUUCUCAUUAACCUUUCUCCUCAGAAAAAAAGAAACAUUAGGAAGGCUCCCUCAGAGUCUACUAGUACACCUAACUCAUCCAUGAGCAAAGUAUGACAAUGAUUAUUGAUUUUGCAAGGUAUUAUCUGCUACUCUAACAUAUCCUAUAUUAGAUUGUAAACUCCUUGAGGACAGGUGAGGACAGGCAGUACUGUGUAUCAGACAGAGCACUUGGACUUGGGGUUAUAAGACCUGGAUGUCACUCUGGCUGCUGUAUUUGCUUGACUCUUCAUUGUCAACUUGUCUUCCUCAGCUUCAGUAUCCUUAUCUGUAAAAUAUGGAUACUAACCUUUGCACUGCCUACCUCACAGAGCCAUGUAAGGAUCAAAUAAAAGACACAACAAGUAUUUUACAGCCUAUACACAUGUAAAAUAUUAUCUAAAGUUUGCAUUACUCUGAAUAUCUAUUAUAAACGUUCUUCAUGUAGCACGUGAUGAAUAAAGAUUUGCUGAAUUCAAAGAAGCAUCUUUCUAUGUCUGUUUCAUCAUCUAUACUUACUGGGUAGCGUGUAUAGCAUUUGAUUUGAAAUUAAAAGGCCUGAGUUCUACUUUUGUCCCUGCUACUAACUACUUCAUGACCUGUAAUUAGGUGGUACAGUGAGGGAAGUCCUGGACUUGAAGUCAGCAAGGUCCGAGUUCAGAUCCAACUUCAGCUUAUGAUCUUGGGCAAGUCGCUAACUUCUGCUUGCCUUAGUUUCUGUAAAAUAAGUAAGAUAACAAUACACCUACCUCCCAGAGUUACUGUAAGCAUUAGACCCGAUGAUAUUUUCUAAAAUACAGUGCAAACCUUAAAAUGCUACAUACAUAUUAGCUACAAUUAAGUAAUUUUCCCUUCUAUAAAAAUGAAAAGAUGGGAUCACUUGGACUCUAUGUCUGAGGUCCUUGGUAUUACAGUUUACUCACCUGGAAAUAGAUUCCUAAUCUGAGGAACACACUGUCCACCCUCCCUCCCAGACGUAAGAGCAACUCAGGUGGGGUGUGAAAGAAUAGCCCACAUGAUUGGAUUACGAAGCUCAACUUCUGCAUAAAUAAAAUAAAUACAUCUAUUUUUGUCUAUGGAAACAAAGUCUACAUCCAAGUCAACAAAACCAAGACUAACGCAGUAAAUUAUCUCCAACUGACAGUGGUUCAGGGAGUUCUCAAUAAGACAUAUCCAACCAAGGUCAAAUUGGAAUGGAGCUUUACAUCUCCAGGUAACCUUGGGCCAUCAUAGCUGGUCGGUGUGGGCAGUUGUGAGAUUGAUGAAUUGUAUUGAUCUCCAAUUGAACGUGAAGGAUAUAAACUCAAAAAUUACACAAUCUUUGUGGAGAAGGGCCCCAUGAUGUUCAGUUAUACUUAACUUGAAUGUGACUCCCUCUUUCCCUUAUAGCUUUUCUAGAAACUCAAGUCAUACCUGUUAUAAUUAUUAAAGUCAUUAAAAUCAAAUAAUUGAUUAAAAUCAAGUAUAAAAUCACAUAUCAAUAUUUCUUAAUGUCAUUUAUUUUGGAAGCAUAAUUAAAAUAAGCAAUUUCUUUAAAACAUACACACAGAGAGAGAAAUCUUACAGCUCUUAAAAAAAGUGACUUUAACAGAAAUAACAAUGUUUCAAUAGUUACAUUUAAAUUUAAUAAUCUUUAAAUUUGUCUCAAUUUUAGAAUAAAAUAAAAUGCCUUUUGUGCCUUAUUUAUCUAAGUUAUAAAAAUGAAGACUUUUAGGGAUUUUAAUUAUCUGAUAUAUCUUAUAUUACUUUUAUUCUAUUUUAAAAAUCCAUGUUAGAACACUGUGAUGAAUUAUGACUUUUAUUUGAAUAAAAUAUAAACUGAGAAUAUCUCCUUUAUAGACUGCUUUAGGAAAGACAUCAUCAUUUCUAACUGGCUCGUUAUUACAUAAAGAUGAGAAAUCACCGCCUUAAGUGAAACACUUUAGAAAAAUCUCAGUCGAAAAACCAUUACAUUGAAUUCCCAAUCCCUAUAUUUAUGCCCACCUGCAUUUUUGAUUUCCUUCACAAGCUAAUUGUACAACGUUUCAGAGUCUGAUUCUUUUUGUACAGCAAAAUAAUGUUUUGGUCAUGUAUACUUAUUAUGUAUCUAAGUUAUAUUUUAAUAUAUUUAACAUCUACUGGUCAUCCUGCCAUCUGGGGGAGGGGGUGGGGGGUAAGAGGUGAAAAAUUGGAACAAGAGGUUUGGCAAUUGUUAACGCUGUAAAGUUACCCAUGUAUAUAACCUGUAAAUAAAGGGCUAUUAAAAAAAAAAAAAAAAAAAAAAAUAAGAGCGUCCCAGUCGGAAGGCGGCGUUUCGGGGCAACGUCCGCGAGUUCCGCGUGUAGCUUGGCCAACAAGCGGCCUUCCGUGCAUAAAGAAUCACGGCUUCUGUUUGGGCCGAUGGCUCCCGGACUGUGACUCUGGCUCACCCGAUGGCGGAAAGGAGGCUGGUCCGGGCCAGGCCCGAGAAGGGCCUUGGUUUAAGAAGGCACCGAGCGCCACUGGGCCCAGAAGGCUCUGGAAGAGGGCGGGAGGCCGGUGACUUUGCAGGCUCUCCCUCGCCCAGCAGCAGCAGCAGCAGCAUAUUUGUUCCCUGCGAGGGUGGGCUCCAGCGCGGCUGAGGCCGGCGGCGGUGGGCGGCAGAGCCUGAAUCCGGGCCCCGCUACCUCAGACCCCCGCCUCCCCCCGCCCCGACACGGCUGCCGUGACACCCCCCGGAACGUUCUAGGGCUUCUCUGCCCCGUGACCACGCGCUGGGCCCCUCAGUGAGCCCAAGGAGGGGAGCACCGGAAGUGGUUCCGGGGCGCCUCGUGGGGGGCCCCUCUCGUUUAGGGACCGGAAGGGCGCUCACCCCUCCCUCCCGCCGCACUUCCUCAUUUAAAGCCCGAGAGAGUUGUAGGAAUGAGGGGCGUUACUUAGCCCGGGGCUUGAGCUGGGGGCCCCUCUGGUCCCGCUUCCUUAACUCUGGGUCCUCGGGGACUAGGAGACCAGAGAGGGCGGGAGCUCACGCAGGUCACCCAGCCCGGGCCUCUGCCUCGGGAGGGGGGGGGAGGGGCGGGCAGAAGCUUCCAGAAGCAGCCGCCCUCUGCUGGUGGGGGGGGACGGUGCAGGCACUCCCGGAAGGAAGGCCCUGAACGCCGCGCACACUGCCUGCCGCUCCCUCCCGGGUCAGGUCUGCGGGAGGGAGGGGAGAGGGAAUGGGGACGGGGAGUGAGAGGGGCAAGGGGGAGGGAGUAGGGAAGGGAGAAUGGG